UACGAAGGGUGCAAGCGUUAAUCGGAAUUACUGGGCGUAAAGCGUGCGUAGGCGGUKMKUUAAGUCUGYYGUGAAAUCCCCGGGCUCAACCUGGGAAUGGCRRUGGAUACUGGMKMGCUAGAGUGUGAUAGAGGAUGGUGGAAUUCCCGGUGUAGCGGUGAAAUGCGUAGAGAUCGGGAGGAACAUCAGUGGCGAAGGCGGCCAUCUGGAUCAACACUGACGCUGAGGCACGAAAGCGUGGGGAGCAAACAGGAUUAGAUACCCUGGUAGUCCACGCCCUAAACGAUGCGAACUGGAUGUUGGUCUCAACUCGGAGAUCAGUGUCGAAGCUAACGCGUUAAGUUCGCCGCCUGGGGAGUACGGUCGCAAGACUGAAACUCAAAG
RNAcentral lists this ribosomal RNA (384 nucleotides) under uncultured bacterium. RNAcentral's name for it is "partial 16S ribosomal RNA". It matches the Rfam family "Bacterial small subunit ribosomal RNA", at positions 524 to 906 of the family's 1533-position model. The record is from RNAcentral.